AUACGUAGGGGGCGAGCGUUAUCCGGAAUUAUUGGGCGUAAAGAGUGCGUAGGUGGUUUUGUAAGCGCGGGGUGAAAGGCAAUGGCUCAACCAUUGUAAGCCCUGCGAACUGUGAGACUUGAGUGCAGGAGAGGAAAGUGGAAUUCCUAGUGUAGCGGUGAAAUGCGUAGAUAUUAGGAGGAACACCAGUGGCGAAGGCGGCUUUCUGGACGGAAACUGACACUGAGGCACGAAAGCGUGGGGAGCAAACAGGAUUAGAUACCCUGGUAGUCCACGCCGUAAACGAUGAGCACUAGGUGUCGGGGUCGCAAGGCUUCGGUGCCGCAGUUAACGCAUUAAGUGCUCCGCCUGGGGAGUACGCACGCAAGUGUGAAACUCAAAUGAAUUGACGGGG
This 394-nucleotide ribosomal RNA is filed under the name uncultured bacterium. Its description in RNAcentral is "partial 16S ribosomal RNA". It matches the Rfam family "Bacterial small subunit ribosomal RNA", at positions 523 to 918 of the family's 1533-position model. The record is from RNAcentral.